Molecule: ribosomal RNA, 491 nt
Filed under: uncultured bacterium
Lineage: Bacteria
Description: bacterial SSU rRNA
Rfam family: Bacterial small subunit ribosomal RNA
Source: RNAcentral
GAUGAACGCUGGCGGCGUGCCUAAUACAUGCAAGUAGAACGCUGAAGCUUGGUGCUUGCACCGAGCGGAGGAGUUGCGAACGGGUGAGUAACGCGUAGGUAACCUGCCUCUUAGCGGGGGAUAACUAUUGGAAACGAUAGCUAAUACCGCAUAAAAGUCGAUAUCGCAUGAUAUUGACUUGAAAGGUGCAAAUGCAUCACUAAGAGAUGGACCUGCGUUGUAUUAGCUAGUUGGUGAGGUAACGGCUCACCAAGGCGACGAUACAUAGCCGACCUGAGAGGGUGAUCGGCCACACUGGGACUGAGACACGGCCCAGACUCCUACGGGAGGCAGCAGUAGGGAAUCUUUGGCAAUGGACGGAAGUCUGACCGAGCAACGCCGCGUGAGUGAAGAAGGUUUUCGGAUCGUAAAGCUCUGUUGUAAGAGAAGAACGAGUGUGAGAGUGGAAAGUUCACACUGUGACGGUAACUUACCAGAAAGGGACGGCUAAC